AGCAGCUUAUAAUUUCUCAUUAAAAACCCACAACAGAUGCGUGGUAUUGUUAGAAUUUUUUCUAAUAUUUUGUGGACUGCAAUCAAUUUUAGGUUUUGGUUUUAAUAAGAAUAAAUUGAUGUUGUGAUCCAUUUGAUGAUGCUUAAACCCUAAUAAGAGUGAUCAAUAGAUAAUGGGUAUUUGUACACAUUUGUGUAGAAACAAGGUGUAGGCCCGAACAUUAGGGUUCAUGAUGGGUGGUACCUAGAGUUGCACGGUUAUAAAUAGAGAGGCUAGGUCCCUUUGCCAUCACUCUAACAAUUAUGCUUAUUAGUGGUUUGCCCCAUCGAAAACCCUAAGUUCUGAAGCAUGUGAAAGGCAAAGGAAGACUUUGUCUCAUCUCGGCGAAUUCGGUAAUCAUGAUUUCCAAUUUUAAUUGCUUUACCUUUGAGAUCAUGUGCGAUGUUCAUCCAAGUCAAAUUCUAUGUGAAUUAAGAAACAAAUAUUUGAAAGAUGGAGUCUUGGAGCAAAAGAAAGGAGAAUUGAAGCUGAUUCAUGUCAAAAAUAUGAAGAUCUCAUACAAAACUAUCUUCUACAAGGAUUCAUUUCAAAAAUAUGAAGAUCUCAUACAAAAAUAUCUUGUAUGAGAUCUUGUACAAAAAUAUAACAAGUGGCGCGCCCCUAUUGUCCUUUUGCUGAUUUUGAUUCUACGACAAAGCUGCCUAUUUUAGUAUUUCUGACCUAGAGCCCAUGGUUUCUUGUGCAACACUACACUAUAGCGAUUUAAUUCUUGGGGAUCAAGUCAAUGUUAGACUAUAAAUAGAGCAGUCUCUAGUUUGUAAAACCAUCUUUUGUUCUUAAAAUAAAAGUUCACCUUUAUUUUAUUGUUAUUUA
Long non-coding RNA from Medicago truncatula (barrel medic), 873 nucleotides. RefSeq lists it as uncharacterized. NCBI's taxonomy places the organism in Eukaryota, Viridiplantae, Streptophyta, Magnoliopsida, Fabales, Fabaceae. The record is from RefSeq and is a predicted model, not a curated record. The transcript is spliced from 3 exons.